Molecule: ribosomal RNA, 556 nt
Filed under: Amphiglossus reticulatus
Lineage: Eukaryota; Metazoa; Chordata; Lepidosauria; Squamata; Scincidae
Description: partial 16S ribosomal RNA
Rfam family: Bacterial large subunit ribosomal RNA
Source: RNAcentral
UUUAGCCAUAAAAGUAUUAAAGGUCCCGCCUGCCCAGUGAUAAACCAAUUUAACGGCCGCGGUAUUCUAACCGUGCAAAGGUAGCGUAAUCACUUGUCUUUUAAAUAAAGACUUGUAUGAACGGCUAAAUGAGGACAAACCUGUCUCUUAUGACCAAUCAGUGAAACUGAUCUCCCAGUCCAAAAGCUGGAAUACCACCAUAAGACGAGAAGACCCUGUGGAGCUUCAAACUAACCAUUAACAAGCAAAACACCUGCACCUAAUGCACAGUUUUUAGUUGGGGCGACUUUGGAACAAAACAAAACUUCCAAGCACAGAGCCACACACUCCGGCCACGGCCAACAAGCCAAAGUCAAAAGCACAGAUCCAGUAACACUGAUCAACGGACCAAGUUACCCCAGGGAUAACAGCGCCAUCUUCUUCAAGAGUCCAUAUCGACAAGAAGGUUUACGACCUCGAUGUUGGAUCAGGACACCCAAAUGGUGCAGCCGCUAUUAAAGGUUCGUUUGUUCAACGAUUAACAGUCCUACGUGAUCUGAGUUCAGACCGGAGCAAU